GAUGAACGCUGGCGGCGUGCCUAAUACAUGCAAGUCGAGCGAACAGACGAGGAGCUUGCUCCUCUGACGUUAGCGGCGGACGGGUGAGUAACACGUGGAUAACCUACCUAUAAGACUGGGAUAACUUCGGGAAACCGGAGCUAAUACCGGAUAAUAUAUUGAACCGCAUGGUUCAAUAGUGAAAGACGGUUUUGCUUUCACUUAUAGAUGUAUCCGCGCCGCAUUAGCUAGUUGGUAAGGUAACGGCUUACCAAGGCAACGAUGCGUAGCCGACCUGAGGGGGUGAUGGGCCAAACUGGAACUGAGACAGGGUCCAGACUCCUACGGGGGGCAGCAGUAGGGAAUCUUCGGCAAUGGGCGAAGGCCUGACGGGGCAACGCCGGGUAAGUGAUGAAGGUCUUCGGAUCGUAAAACUCUGUUAUUAGGGAGGAACAAAUGUGUAAGUAACUAUGCACGUCUUGACGGUAACUAAUCAGAAAGCCACGGCUAACUACGUG
RNAcentral lists this ribosomal RNA (497 nucleotides) under uncultured bacterium. RNAcentral's name for it is "partial 16S ribosomal RNA". It matches the Rfam family "Bacterial small subunit ribosomal RNA", at positions 28 to 507 of the family's 1533-position model. The record is from RNAcentral.